Molecule: transfer RNA, 82 nt
Filed under: Danionella translucida
Lineage: Eukaryota; Metazoa; Chordata; Actinopteri; Cypriniformes; Danionidae
Also listed under: 1 other name
Rfam family: tRNA
About the family: Transfer RNA (tRNA) molecules are approximately 80 nucleotides in length. Their secondary structure includes four short double-helical elements and three loops (D, anti-codon, and T loops).
Source: Rfam by way of RNAcentral
GUUGUCGUGGCCGAGUGGUUAAGGCAAUGGACUCAAAAUCCAUUGGGGUUUUUCCGCGCAGGUUCAAAUCCUGCCGAUAACG